GAUGAAGAACGAGCGAAAUGCGAUAAGUAAUGUGAAUUGCAGAAUUCAGUGAAUCAUCGAAUCUUUGAACGCACAUUGCGCCCGCCAGUAUUCUGGCGGGCAUGCCUGUUCGAGCGUCAUUUCAACCAUCAAGCCCCCGGCUUGUGUUGGGGACCUGCGGCUGCCGCAGGCCCUGAAAACCAGUGGCGGGCUCGCUAGUCACUCCGAGCGUAGUAAUACAUCUCGCUCAGGGCGUGCUGCGGGUUCCGGCCGUUAAAAAGCCUUAUUUACCCAAGGUUGACCUCGGAUCAGGUAGGAAGACCCGCUGAACUUAAGCAUAUCAAUAAGCGGAGGA
Molecule: unclassified non-coding RNA, 334 nt
Filed under: soil metagenome
Description: partial contains 5.8S ribosomal RNA, internal transcribed spacer 2, and large subunit ribosomal RNA
Rfam family: 5.8S ribosomal RNA (bases 1-119)
Source: RNAcentral